UCCGGCGCCUGAGGAUGGCUCUGCGGCUUAUCAGGUUGUAGUGAGAGUAACGUCCUCACUAGCCUAUGACGGGUACGGGCCCUGAGAGGGGAUGCCCGGAGAUGGACUCUGAGACACGAGUCCAGGCCCUACGGGGCGCAGCAGGCGCGAAAACUCCGCAAUGCUCGAAAGAGUGACGGGGGGAUUCCAAGUGCCUACGCUUAGCGUAGGCUGUUCAGAUGCCUAAAAAGCAUCUGGAGUAAGGGCUGGGUAAGACGGGUGCCAUCUGUGGCAGCAGCCGAAGAUUUGGCUUGUUGCUGCAAGGCAUAAGCCGCCGCGGUAAUACCCGCAGCCCGAGUGGUAGUCGAUUUUAUUGGGCCUAAAGCGUCCGUAUCCGGUCUGAUAAAUGCCUGGGUAAAUCGUCUGGCUUAACCAGACGAAUUCCGGGUAGACUGUCAGACUUGGGACCGGUUGAGGAAGAGGGUACUUUAGGGGUAGGAGUGAAAUCCUGUAAUCCUUGAAGGACCACCAGUGGCGAAGGCGCUCUUCUAGGACGGGUCCGACGGUGAGGGACGAAAGCCAGGGGAGCAAACCGGAUUAGAUACCCGGGUAGUCCUGGCCGUAAACGAUGUGGGCUUUGCAUUGGGGGUUCUACGUGGGCGCC
This 643-nucleotide ribosomal RNA is filed under the name uncultured archaeon. Its description in RNAcentral is "bacterial SSU rRNA". It matches the Rfam family "Archaeal small subunit ribosomal RNA", at positions 195 to 795 of the family's 1478-position model. The record is from RNAcentral.